RNAcentral lists this ribosomal RNA (723 nucleotides) under Salmonella enterica subsp. enterica serovar Kentucky. Its description in RNAcentral is "partial 23S ribosomal RNA". It matches the Rfam family "Bacterial large subunit ribosomal RNA", at positions 1035 to 1757 of the family's 2925-position model. The record is from RNAcentral. Lineage: Bacteria; Pseudomonadati; Pseudomonadota; Gammaproteobacteria; Enterobacterales; Enterobacteriaceae.
CCAGCUAAGGUCCCAAAGUCAUGGUUAAGUGGGAAACGAUGUGGGAAGGCCCAGACAGCCAGGAUGUUGGCUUAGAAGCAGCCAUCAUUUAAAGAAAGCGUAAUAGCUCACUGGUCGAGUCGGCCUGCGCGGAAGAUGUAACGGGGCUAAACCAUGCACCGAAGCUGCGGCAGCGACGCUGAUGCGUUGUUGGGUAGGGGAGCGUUCUGUAAGCCUGUGAAGGUGGCCUGUGAGGGUUGCUGGAGGUAUCAGAAGUGCGAAUGCUGACAUAAGUAACGAUAAAGCGGGUGAAAAGCCCGCUCGCCGGAAGACCAAGGGUUCCUGUCCAACGUUAAUCGGGGCAGGGUGAGUCGACCCCUAAGGCGAGGCCGAAAGGCGUAGUCGAUGGGAAACGGGUUAAUAUUCCCGUACUUGGUGUUACUGCGAAGGGGGGACGGAGAAGGCUAUGUUGGCCGGGCGACGGUUGUCCCGGUUUAAGCGUGUAGGUGUGUGUUCCAGGUAAAUCCGGUUCACUUUAACACUGAGGCGUGAUGACGAGGCACUACGGUGCUGAAGCAACAAAUGCCCUGCUUCCAGGAAAAGCCUCUAAGCAUCAGGUAACAUCAAAUCGUACCCCAAACCGACACAGGUGGUCAGGUAGAGAAUACCAAGGCGCUUGAGAGAACUCGGGUGAAGGAACUAGGCAAAAUGGUGCCGUAACUUCGGGAGAAGGCACGCUGACAC